UGGGGAUCCCGUCAAGGCGAUCAGCUCAAAGGCAGCAGGGGCUGUUCAUUACCUCGUCUCUAUUGCGUGGCGCCAAAAGAUUGCACAGUUGGACAGAAAGAAUGUGGAAUGGACUGAACAGAGGAACAAGGAAUUUCUGGCUGCUUGGAGCCCCACUGUGGUUUGCAACAGCCCCUCCAGGAUCGCAGAGCUCUUUGGAGUCUAUUUCAACCCAAGAGAGAGGACAGAUUUCAUUCUGACUGUUAUGGAUGGCCUGAC
This is a long non-coding RNA of Malaclemys terrapin pileata, 258 nucleotides long. RefSeq lists it as uncharacterized. The record is from RefSeq and is a predicted model, not a curated record. Lineage: Eukaryota; Metazoa; Chordata; Testudines; Emydidae. The transcript is spliced from 3 exons.